UACGUAGGGUGCAAGCGUUAAUCGGAAUUACUGGGCGUAAAGCGUGCGCAGGCGGUAAUGUAAGACAGAUGUGAAAUCCCCGGGCUCAACCUGGGAACUGCAUUUGUGACUGCAUUGCUGGAGUACGGCAGAGGGGGAUGGAAUUCCGCGUGUAGCAGUGAAAUGCGUAGAUAUGCGGAGGAACACCGAUGGCGAAGGCAAACCCCUGGGCCUGUACUGACGCUCAUGCACGAGAGCGUGGGGAGCAAAC
Molecule: ribosomal RNA, 250 nt
Filed under: uncultured Comamonadaceae bacterium
Lineage: Bacteria; Pseudomonadati; Pseudomonadota; Betaproteobacteria; Burkholderiales; Comamonadaceae
Description: partial 16S ribosomal RNA
Rfam family: Bacterial small subunit ribosomal RNA
Source: RNAcentral